Molecule: ribosomal RNA, 492 nt
Filed under: uncultured bacterium
Lineage: Bacteria
Description: partial 16S ribosomal RNA
Rfam family: Bacterial small subunit ribosomal RNA
Source: RNAcentral
AUUGAACGCUGGCGGCAUGCUUUACACAUGCAAGUCGAACGGUAACAGGCCUUCGGGCGCUGACGAGUGGCGGACGGGCGGGUAAGGCAUCGGAACGUGCCCAGAGGUGGGGGAUAACGCAGCGAAAGCAGUGCUAAUACCGCAUGCGAUCGGAGUAUGAAAGCGGGGGACCAGGCAGCAAUGUUUGGCCUCGCGCCUUUGGAGCUGCCGAUGUCAGAUUAGGUAGUUGGUGGGGUAAAGGCCGACCAAGCCGACGAUCUGUAGCUGGUCUGAGAGGACGACCAGCCACACUGGGACUGAGACACGGCCCAGACUCCUACGGGAGGCAGCAGUGGGGAAUUUUGGACAAUGGGCGCAAGCCUGAUCCAGCAAUGCCGCGUGCGUGAAGAAGGCCUUCGGGUUGUAAACCGCUUUUGUACGGAACGAAAAGGCUCUGGCUAAUACCUGGGGCUGAUGACGGUACCGUAAGAAUAAGCACCGGCUAACUACGUG